GACGAACGCUGGCGGCGUGCUUAACACAUGCAAGUCGAACGGAAAGGCCCUGCUUUUGUGGGGUUCUCGAGUGGCGAACGGGUGGGUAACACGUGAGUAACCUGCCCUUGACUUUGGGAUAACUUCAGGAAACUGGGGCUAAUACCGGAUAGGAGCUCCUGCUUCAUGUUGGGGGUUGGUAAGUUUCGGCGGUUGGGGAUGGACUCGCGGCUUAUCAGCUUGUUGGUGGGGUAGUGGCUUACCAAGGCUUUGACGGGUAGCCGGCCUGAGAGGGUGACCGGCCACAUUGGGACUGAGAUACGGCCCAGACUCCUACGGGAGGCAGCAGUGGGGAAUAUUGCACAAUGGGCGGAAGCCUGAUGCAGCAACGCCGCGUGCGGGAUGACGGCCUUCGGGUUGUAAAAAGAUUUCGCCUGUGACGAAGAGUGAGUGACGGUAAUGGGUAAAGAAGCACCGACUAACUACGUG
This 468-nucleotide ribosomal RNA is filed under the name uncultured bacterium. RNAcentral describes it as "partial 16S ribosomal RNA". It matches the Rfam family "Bacterial small subunit ribosomal RNA", at positions 28 to 507 of the family's 1533-position model. The record is from RNAcentral.